RNAcentral lists this ribosomal RNA (887 nucleotides) under uncultured bacterium. RNAcentral describes it as "bacterial SSU rRNA". It matches the Rfam family "Bacterial small subunit ribosomal RNA", at positions 54 to 943 of the family's 1533-position model. The record is from RNAcentral.
CAUGCGAGUCGUGCGCGUCCCCUCAGGUGCUUGCACCUGAAGGUGACGAGCGGCGUGCGGGUGCGUAACACGUAGAUUACCUGCCCUUGUGUGGGGAAUAACCUGGGGAAACUCGGGCUAAUACCGCAUACUACCGCCGGUCUUUCGACCGGCAGUCAAAGCCCUUCGGGGCGCGCAAGGAGGGGUCUGCGGUCUAUCAGCUCGUUGGUGAGGUAACGGCUCACCAAAGCGAUGACGGAUAGCCGGUCUGAGAGGAUGGUCGGCCACACUGGGACUUGAACAUGGUCCAGAGCCCUACGGGGUUUAGCAUGAAGGAAUCUUGCGCAAUGGGCGAAAGCCUGACGCAGCGACGCCGCGUGGAGGAUGACGCCGUUCGCGGUGUAAACUCCUUUUCUCGGGGAAGAUUAUGACGGUACCCAAGGAAUAAGCCCCGGCUAACUCCGUGCCAGCAGCCGCGGUAAUACGGAGGGGGCAAGCGUUAUCCGGAUUUACUGGGCGUAAAGGGCGCGUAGGCAGCAGAGCUAGCCGCUUGUGGAAGCUCCUGGCUCAACCAGGAGAUGCCAAGCGGAACGGCUCCGCUCGAGGCAGGGAGAGGGUCGCAGAACUGGCGGUGGAGUGGUGAAAUACGUAGAUAUCGCCAGGAAUACCCGUGGCGAAGGCGGCGACCUGGCCCUGUCCUGACGCUCAGGCGCGAAAGCGAGGGGAGCGAACGGGAUUAGAUACCCCGGUAGUCCUCGCUGUAAACGAUGGGUGCUGGGUGUUGGGGUCGGACUUUUCUCCGCCCUCAGUGCCCAAGGUAACCCGCUACGCACCCCGCCUGGGGAGUACGGCCGCAAGGCUGAAACUCAAAGGAAUUGACGGGGCCCGCACAAGCAGCGGAGCGUGUG